GACGAACGCUGGCGGCGUGCUUAACACAUGCAAGUCGAACGGAAAGGCCUCUUUCGGGGGGUACUCGAGUGGCGAACGGGUGAGUAACACGUGAGUAACCUGCCCUUGACUUUGGGAUAACUUCAGGAAACUGGGGCUAAUACCGGAUAGGAGCUCCUGCUGCAUGGUGGGGGUUGGAAAGUUUCGGCGGUUGGGGAUGGACUCGCGGCUUAUCAGCUUGUUGGUGGGGUAGUGGCUUACCAAGGCUUUGACGGGUAGCCGGCCUGAGAGGGUGACCGGCCACAUUGGGACUGAGAUACGGCCCAGACUCCUACGGGAGGCAGCAGUGGGGUAUAUUGCACAAUGGGUGGAAGCCUGAUGCUGCAACGCCGUGUGCGGGAUGACGGCCUUCGGGUUGUAAACCGCUUUCGCUCAUGACGAAGCUUUGUGUGACGGUAGUGGGUAAAGAAGCACCGGCUAACUACGUG
Molecule: ribosomal RNA, 467 nt
Filed under: uncultured bacterium
Lineage: Bacteria
Description: partial 16S ribosomal RNA
Rfam family: Bacterial small subunit ribosomal RNA
Source: RNAcentral